Molecule: ribosomal RNA, 869 nt
Filed under: Halomonas sp. K8-4L-014
Lineage: Bacteria; Pseudomonadati; Pseudomonadota; Gammaproteobacteria; Oceanospirillales; Halomonadaceae
Description: bacterial SSU rRNA
Rfam family: Bacterial small subunit ribosomal RNA
Source: RNAcentral
GGCCUAACACAUGCAAGUCGAGCGGUAACAGGGGUAGCUUGCUACCCGCUGACGAGCGGCGGACGGGUGAGUAAUGCAUAGGAAUCUGCCCGGUAGUGGGGGAUAACCUGGGGAAACCCAGGCUAAUACCGCAUACGUCCUACGGGAGAAAGGGGGCUCCGGCUCCCGCUAUUGGAUGAGCCUAUGUCGGAUUAGCUAGUUGGUGAGGUAAUGGCUCACCAAGGCGACGAUCCGUAGCUGGUCUGAGAGGAUGAUCAGCCACAUCGGGACUGAGACACGGCCCGAACUCCUACGGGAGGCAGCAGUGGGGAAUAUUGGACAAUGGGCGAAAGCCUGAUCCAGCCAUGCCGCGUGUGUGAAGAAGGCCCUCGGGUUGUAAAGCACUUUCAGCGAGGAAGAACGCCUAGUGGUUAAUACCCACUAGGAAAGACAUCACUCGCAGAAGAAGCACCGGCUAACUCCGUGCCAGCAGCCGCGGUAAUACGGAGGGUGCAAGCGUUAAUCGGAAUUACUGGGCGUAAAGCGCGCGUAGGUGGCUUGAUAAGCCGGUUGUGAAAGCCCCGGGCUCAACCUGGGAACGGCAUCCGGAACUGUCAAGCUAGAGUGCAGGAGAGGAAGGUAGAAUUCCCGGUGUAGCGGUGAAAUGCGUAGAGAUCGGGAGGAAUACCAGUGGCGAAGGCGGCCUUCUGGACUGACACUGACACUGAGGUGCGAAAGCGUGGGUAGCAAACAGGAUUAGAUACCCUGGUAGUCCACGCCGUAAACGAUGUCGACCAGCCGUUGGGUGCCUAGCGCACUUUGUGGCGAAGUUAACGCGAUAAGUCGACCGCCUGGGGAGUACGGCCGCAAGGUUAAAACUCAAAUGAAUU